RNAcentral lists this ribosomal RNA (253 nucleotides) under uncultured bacterium. Its description in RNAcentral is "partial 16S ribosomal RNA". It matches the Rfam family "Bacterial small subunit ribosomal RNA", at positions 524 to 776 of the family's 1533-position model. The record is from RNAcentral.
UACGUAGGGUGCAAGCGUUGUCCGGAAUUAUUGGGCGUAAAGAGCUCGUAGGCGGUCUGUCACGUCGGAUGUGAAAAUCCAGGGCUUAGCCCUGGACCUGCAUUCGAUACGGGCAGACUAGAGUUCGGUAGGGGAGACUGGAAUUCCUGGUGUAGCGGUGAAAUGCGCAGAUAUCAGGAGGAACACCGGUGGCGAAGGCGGGUCUCUGGGCCGAUACUGACGCUGAGGAGCGAAAGCGUGGGGAGCGAACAGG